CCGAUAUCAACAGCUAAGGCAGUGGAAAUAUUGUUGAUGAUGCCGAUGUUUAAGUUUCGCAGGCCGCCCAUCUGGCUGUGGAUCUGCUCUAAAGAACCCAUAUCCACCAGAAGUACUACGUCCUGACAGGUGAUAAAUCGUUCAAUGUGUUUUUCCAGCAGCCCGGUGAUGUCGCUCAUCUGCAUGUCAAGAGGCAUAUCAAUGGCAUCAAAUACCUUUCGCCCGAUGAUCUGGUUUGCGGCAUCUGCAAUACUGGAAGCUGUUGCAUAGCCGUGGCUUAAGAUAAUACCGGCUGCGGAAAGUCCCUGGAUCUUCUGGUUCUGGUUUUUUAUAUCUAAAAGCAAAAACAGCUGGUUUAAACUGUCUGCUUCAAUGUCCAGAUUCAGUUUGAUCAGGUUUACGAUCCUAGAACAGAUGACUGAUUCUUUUUCAAGAACAGCGCUUACAGCCUGAAACAUUUCUUCAAUCUCGUCAUGGUUUUGUUUCAUCCAGUUGUCGAUCAGAUGGUCGCCCUGAAGCUGUAUAUAUAAGCGGCGGGCAAGUAAGUGGCUGUAUUUUUUGGAAAGGCUGAUGCCAUACAUUUCACCUACAUUUUCAAAAAUCUGAUUGAUCAGCUGUUCGUAAGUGGAGAUCUUGAUGUUUACAAGCUUCUGUCCGUAGAUCAGAUAGUCGUAAUAAUCAUUUAAUUGUUUCCGGAAUUCCAUGUCCAGGCUGAAGUGGAGGUAAAACUCCAUGGAGGGCCGAACACACGUCCGUUGAAAAGGCCGGUGAUGAGGUGUGGAUAGCGGAGAAAUUCCAAUCGAACUCGGAGAUAGCUGGUUCUCCUCGAAAUAGCUUUAGGGCUAGCCUCGAGAUGGAGUCUAACGGAGGUAAAGCACUGAACUGACGCGGGGCCCAAAAAGGUUACCAACUCAUAUCAAACUAAGAAUGCCGUCAAGAUACCCUCGGGAGUCAGUCUGCGUGAGAUAAGUCGCGUGGACAAAAGGGAAAGAGCCCAGACCGACAGCUAAGGUCCCAAAGUACGUGUUAAGUGGAAAAGGAUGUGGGAUUUCAAAGACAACUAGGAUGUUGGCUUAGAAGCAGCCAUACAUUUAAAGAGUGCGUAAUAGCUCACUAGUCGAGAGGUCCUGCGCCGAAAAUGUCCGGGGCUGAAACACACUGCCGAAGCUCAGGAAUGUACCUAGUACAUUGGUAGAGGAGCAUUGUAUACGGGACGAAGCAGUACCGAUAAGGAGCUGUGGACUGUAUAGAAGAGAGAAUGCCGGAAUGAGUAGCGAGAGGAAGGUGAGAAUCCUUCCGGCCGAAUAUCUAAGGUUUCCAGAGUAAAGCUGAUCUGCUCUGGGUAAGUCGGGGCCUAAGGCCAGGUCGAAAGACGUAACCGAUGGACAACAGGUUGAAAUUCCUGUACCUUAAGUAAACAGAACUGUGGGGACACGUGUGGAGAGCACAAGCCGGAAAUGGAAAAGCCGGUGCAAGCGGGGUAGGAGAUGAAUAGGCAAAUCCGUUCAUCAAUCCGAAGACGUGAUGCGGACCGAAUUAAGAGUAGGGAAGUGUGUGAGCCAUGCGUCAAGAAAAGCCGCUAUUGUUUUACUUAAGCCCGUACCGUAAACCGACACAGGUGGAUGAGGAGAGAAUCCUAAGGCCGACGGGAGAAGCAUUGUUAAGGAACUCGGCAAAAUGACUCCGUAACUUCGGGAGAAGGAGUGCCAGCGAGAGCUGGCCGCAGAGAAUUGGCCCAAGCAACUGUUUAGCAAAAACACAGGUCUAUGCAAAACCGUAAGGUGAAGUAUAUGGGCUGACGCCUGCCCGGUGCUGGAAGGUUAAGAGGAGAGGUUAGCGGUAACGCGAAGCUUUGAAUUUAAGCCCCAGUAAACGGCGGCCGUAACUAUAACGGUCCUAAGGUAGCGAAAUUCCUUGUCGGGUAAGUUCCGACCC
Molecule: ribosomal RNA, 1935 nt
Filed under: human gut metagenome
Description: bacterial LSU rRNA
Rfam family: Bacterial large subunit ribosomal RNA (bases 532-1935)
Source: RNAcentral